Molecule: ribosomal RNA, 189 nt
Filed under: uncultured bacterium
Lineage: Bacteria
Description: partial 16S ribosomal RNA
Rfam family: Bacterial small subunit ribosomal RNA
Source: RNAcentral
CGGAUAAGAGGCUGAAACUCGCCUCUUUGAAGUCGGAAUCGCUAGUAAUCGCAGAUCAGCAUGUUGCGGUGAAUACGUUUCCUGGUCUUGUACACACCGCCCGUCAAACCAUGAGAGUCGCCAACACCCGAAGUCCGCUUUGCGGCCUAAGGUGGGGAGAUGAUUGGGGUUAAGUCGUAACAAGGUAAC